Long non-coding RNA from Oncorhynchus kisutch (coho salmon), 2886 nucleotides. The record is from Ensembl. Lineage: Eukaryota; Metazoa; Chordata; Actinopteri; Salmoniformes; Salmonidae.
AGUAUAGAAGUACUGUAUUCAGUACAGUAUCUAACUGUCAGAGAAGUACUAGAGUAUAGAGGUACUGUAUUCAGUACAGUAUCUAACUGUCGGAGAAGUACUAGAAGUAUAGAGGUACUGUAUUCAGUACAGUAUCUAACUGCCAGAGAAGUACUAGAGUAUAGAGGUACUGUAUUCAGUACAGUAUCUAACUGCCAGAGAAGUACUAGAAGUAUAGAGGUACUGUAUUUAUUUAACCUUUUUAUUUAGCAUUACGUUUGAAAGAUUCCCCUAACUUUCCCCAAAUUCCCAGGUUUUCCUUCAGAAAUCCUGGUUAGAAUAUUCCCUGAAUCUGGAAGGAAGAAGCAGGAAAUCAGGGAAUCCUCCAUCUGGGAAUUCUGAAAUACAAAAGGAAUUUCUCAACUUUAUUGAGAGCCUUUAUUUUUUAACAAUAACAACCUGGUAUUAUCCUGGUUUAUCUUCUUAGAACCUAUUUUUUUAAUUCUCCUUUAAUUUCAUAGACUGAUUUUUUGUUGUGCCAUAAUGGAAGAAAUAAGAAAACAAUUGAUUCUAAAUCAGGACCGUAGUUCGUCAUAUUGUCAUGUUUGAUUGCAUUUGAUUUGUGUUGAGUGUUGACUAGUACUGAAGUUGUUGAAUGUACAAUGUACCUAAAUGUCCGGGUAUGUGUCUCAAAUGGAACGCUAUAGACUAAGUAGUGCACUACUUUUUGACUAGGCCUAUGUGGGACGUAUCCCCAAUGUUCCUUUCAUAAUAAUAAUAAAGGCCCAGUUUAUUUGAAUGUGGUUUGAAAAGGAGUAGCCUCAUUGUUUUCCAGUUGAGAGAGAGACACAUAGAGAGACACAUAGAGAGACACAUAGAGAGAGACACAUAGAGAGAGACACAUAGAGAGACACAUAGAGAGAGACACAUAGAGAGAGACACAUAGAGAGAGACACACAGAGAGAGACACAUAGAGAGAGACACAUAGAGAGACACAUAGAGAGAGACACAUAGAGAGAGACACAUAGAGAGAGACACAUAGAGAGAGACACAUAGAGAGACACAUAGAGAGAGACACAUAGAGAGAGAGAGACAUAGAGAGAGACACACAUAGAGAGAGACACAUAGAGAGAGACACAUAGAGAGAGAGACACAUAGAGAGAGACACAUAGAGAGACACACAUAGAGAGAGACACAUAGAGAGACACAUAGAGAGAGACACAUAGAGAGAGACACAUAGAGAGAGACACAUAGAGAGAGACACAUAGAGAGAGAGACACAUAGAGAGAGAGACACACAGAGAGAGACACACAUAGAGAGAGACACAUAGAGAGAGACACAUAGAGAGAGAGAGAGACACAUAGAGAGAGACACAUAGAGAGAGAGACACAUAGAGAGAGAGAGACACAUAGAGAGAGACAUAGAGAGAGAGAGAGAGACACAUAGAGAGAGAGAGAGAGACACAUAGAGAGAGAGAGAGAGACACAUAGAGAGAGAGAGACACACAUAGAGAGAGAGAGAGAGAGACAUAGAGAGAGAGACACAGAGAGAGACACAUAGAGAGACACAUAGAGAGAGACACAUAGAGAGAGACACAUAGAGACACAUAGAGAGACACAGAGAGAGACACAUAGAGAGAGACACAUAGAGAGAGAGACACAUAAGAGAGAGAGAGAGAGACACAUAGAGAGAGAGAGACACAUAGAGAGAGAGAGAGAGACAUAGAGAGAGAGACACAUAGAGAGACACAUAGAGAGAGACACAUAGAGAGAGACACAUAGAGAGAGACACAUAGAGAGAGACACAUAGAGACACAUAGAGACACAUAGAGAGACACAUAGAGAGACACAUAGAGAGAGACACAUAGAGAGAGACACAUAGAGACACAUAGAGAGAGACACAUAGAGAGAGACACAUAGAGAGAGACACAUAGAGAGAGAGACACAUAGAGAGAGAGACACAUAGAGAGAGACACAUAGAGAGAGACACAUAGAGAGAGAGACACAUAGAGAGAGAGACACAUAGAGAGAGACACAUAGAGAGAGACACAUAGAGAGAGACACAUAGAGAGAGAGAGACACAUAGAGAGAGAGAGACACAUAGAGAGAGAGACACAUAGAGAGAGAGAGAGACACAUAGAGAGAGACACAUAGAGAGAGAGAGACACAUAGAGAGAGACACAUAGAGAGAGAGAGACACAUAGAGAGAGACAUAGAGAGAGAGACACAUAGAGAGAGACACAUAGAGAGAGACACAUAGAGAGAGAGACACAUAGAGAGAGAGACACAUAGAGAGAGACACAUAGAGAGACACAGAGAGAGAAAGAGACACAUAGAGAGACACAGAGAGAGAAAGAGACACAUAGAGAGACACAGAGAGAGAAAGAGACACAUAGGGAGAGAAGAGACACAGAGAAAGAGAGACAUAGAGAGAGAAAGAGACACAGAGAAAGAGAGACAUAGAGAGAGAAAGAGAGACAUAGAGAGAGAAAGAGACACAUAGAGAGAGAGACACAUAGAGAGAGAAAGAGAGACAUAGAGAGAGAGAGAGAGAGAGAGAGAGAGCAGAGCAGAGCAGAGAGGAAGUCACAAUCAGAUGAGCUCCUGCAUUUUUCAGCAUUUUCUUUAAAAAAGAUAGAUUAGGAGUUAGAUAAACUUAGAUUUUUUGUCAGGAACACAUACUGGAUUCUACCCUCUACAACAUAACCCCUACUUCAAAUCAAAACUUAAAACCUACAACCUGAUUUUGGACGGAAUUACGGAAUCACCUGGAAGGUUCACAACUACCAAGAUUUGUUUCUCUAUACAGCAAAUUCUCUGGAAAACAACAGAAACCUGAAAACACCAUCCAACCUGGAACUGACUUGAUACAGCUUCAAAUAGCACUGACGUGUCAAGUGAGAGGUGU